AAUCUCGAAAGCCUAUCUCAGUUCGGAUUGGAGGCUGAAACUCGCCUCCAUGAAGUUGGAUUCGCUAGUAAUCGCGCAUCAGCCAUGGCGCGGUGAAUACGUUCCCGGGCCUUGUACACACCGCCCGUCAAGCCAUGGGAGUUGGGGGUGCCUGAAGUUCGUGACCGCAAGGAGCGACCUAGGGCAAAACUAAUGACUGGGGCUAAGUCGUAACAAGGUACC
Molecule: ribosomal RNA, 222 nt
Filed under: uncultured bacterium
Lineage: Bacteria
Description: partial 16S ribosomal RNA
Rfam family: Bacterial small subunit ribosomal RNA
Source: RNAcentral